Molecule: non-coding RNA, 1775 nt
Organism: Rattus norvegicus (Norway rat)
Lineage: Eukaryota; Metazoa; Chordata; Mammalia; Rodentia; Muridae
Source: RefSeq, a predicted model, not a curated record
UGUUAAAAUGACUCCAUAAGAGAGGCGUGGCUUCCCGUCUAGAGGAGAGAGUGGCCAUUUGUGGUUGGCAGGCCUGGCUAGGAGGCGUGGCUGGGCUGCGGAUGCGCCCCCUUCCGAUGUCUCACACACAGGCCUCUGGAGUAUGGGGAGCUGGAGAGCUGCAUUAGUAUUAUAGACACAGCGCUUUCAAACCGAGGGUGGAAAUGAAAUCAUUAAGUGGCUCAAAUGGAGUUUUGUUCUGUGCAUGAUUAACCCCAGGAGGGGAGUUUGGGAACAAAUAUACCUCCUCUACCUGUAUUACAGGGGGACUGAGCCACGGUGAAUUAAAAGAAAAUCAAGGGCAAAUUUGGGACUAGUCAGCUGUGACCAAGCCAUUUGUGUAGUUAAAUGGAGCUGAAAGCGCUAAUAACAGCUUUGCGGGUCAUGGAUCUUCUGGGAGGGUAGGGCAGGAGGUGGGCUGGGCAGGUGGGCAAGGAUUCUGGCCCUGGCUUGCCCAGCUAGAAUUUGAAGCGGGUCUGUAACCUGUCAGCCUAUUCUUGUCAUCUAAGUGUGUAUCACUUCCUAAUGUAUCCUUUUGGUUCUAGAUGGAGACAGGAAUCAGGGUUCAACCCGAACCAUUGGUGGAGACCUUAGCUAAACCUGGAAGACGUCUAAUCUGCGCACCUCUCCGCAUGCCCAGGGUGAAUCGCUUUACAGGGCUAUGACAAGGAGGACUUGAGACAAAUGCUGUUUUCCUGAACUAUACCAAUUGCAGUGGGACCCCUCAGGUACCCGGGGCUGUUCUGCUGCACUGUGGUCCAGGAGAGUUAGCAAAGAGAGAGACCGGCAGAGAAACACUGUGGAUUUAACUUGGUCUAGAGGAGCCUUGUGAGCUUUCAGCUUGAGCUGAUUCUGGCCUUCCCCAGCUCAACUCCCGCCCCCCCGCCCCCCCCCCCCUGUUCUCCAUUGUUGAGAGCCUUUAGGUUUCCAGCUUCUUUGGAGUUCUUCCUGCAAGAGAGAGACCACACAGUUGGUGUGUGUGUGUGUGUGUGUGUGUGUGUGUGUGUGUGUGUGUGUAUCCAUUCACAUUGCAGACACAUGCAUAGCAUGUGUUUGUGCACACACAUUUCGUUACACUGGGGAUGCAAUAGUACCUUGUGGAGUGAAGGAUGCACAAAACAUUUCCCCUGACUUUUUACUGCUCUGCUUCCUUAGGGCCAUGGUGCUACACACUGGAGAGCUGUGUGGCAACACGGGUGAAGAGAUAGAAGCAGGAGGACCUGUCCAGGAUGCUAGCCUUUCUCUUGCUCUAAACAUGGCCCAGUCCCUUGACCCCGUUGGGUCUGGAGACAGUAAUGCAGCUGCAAUGGUAGCGGAGGAGUUGGGAACACACUAGCUUAGCAAAGCUGGUGCUUACUGCACGAGAUGUCCAACCCCUCUCCCUGAAUCCCUUUCUCUAGGGAGAACAGUCAAGUCAUCCCAUGUGUGGGGGCCUUAGCGUAUUCCUCUGACAAUGAGACUGUCAAAGAGUCCCUCUAUCUAGAGCCAAUCCUGACAGAGUGCAGGUAGAGCCUAGAGGAGGGAAGUCUCUCAUGCCUUGACUCAUACCCCCAUUUCCUCUCCUGCUUUGUGGGCCUAGCCAAAACCUUGAUGUGAAACUCUGCUCUGUUCAUCCCUCUGACAGCUGUUUGGUCUCUUGUCUUCAAGUUGAAUUUAGGCAACCAUGGGCAGCCUGAUGUUGGGAGUUAUUGUAUACUCAGCAUAUAGUAUACAUUCAAUAAAUUGAAUCCAAGAUA